CCUACGGGAGGCAGCAGUGAGGAAUAUUGGUCAAUGGGAGAGAUCCUGAACUAGCCAAGCCGCGUGAGGGAAGACGGCCCUAUGGGUUGUAAACCUCUUUUGUCGGGGAGCAAAAAGCGGUACGUGUACCGCAUCGAGAGUACCCGGAGAAAAAGCAUCGGCUAACUCCGUGCCAGCAGCCGCGGUAAUACGGAGGAUGCGAGCGUUAUCGGGAUUUAUUGGGUUUAAGGGGUGCGCAGGCGGCGAGUUAAGUCAGCGGUAAAAUUUCGGGGCUCAACCCCGACGAUCCGUUGAAACUGGCUUGCUAGAGUGGGCGAGAAGUAUGCGGAUUGCGUGGUGUAGCGGUGAAAUGCAUAGAUAGCACGCAGAACUCCGAUUGCGAAGGCAGCAUACCGGCGCCCAACUGACGCUCAGGCACGAAAGCGUGGGUAUCGAACAGGAUUAGAUACCCGAGUAGUC
This 459-nucleotide ribosomal RNA is filed under the name uncultured bacterium. Its description in RNAcentral is "partial 16S ribosomal RNA". It matches the Rfam family "Bacterial small subunit ribosomal RNA", at positions 338 to 795 of the family's 1533-position model. The record is from RNAcentral.